CAGUAGCCACGGGAAUACGGAGGGUGCAAGCGUUAUCCGGAUUCACUGGGUUUAAAGGGUGCGUAGGCGGAUCUGUAAGUCAGUGGUGAAAUCUCCAGGCUUAACCUGGAAACUGCCGCUGAUACUAUAGGUCUUGAAUUUUGUGGAGGUUAGCGGAAUAUGUCAUGUAGCGGUGAAAUGCAUAGAUAUGACAUAGAACACCAAUUGCGAAGGCAGCUGGCUACACAACUAUUGACGCUGAGGCACGAAAGCGUGGGGAUCAAACAGGAUUAGAUACCCGCGUAGUCCCUGUCUCUUAUAC
Molecule: ribosomal RNA, 301 nt
Filed under: uncultured bacterium
Lineage: Bacteria
Description: partial 16S ribosomal RNA
Rfam family: Bacterial small subunit ribosomal RNA
Source: RNAcentral